This 494-nucleotide ribosomal RNA is filed under the name uncultured bacterium. RNAcentral's name for it is "partial 16S ribosomal RNA". It matches the Rfam family "Bacterial small subunit ribosomal RNA", at positions 28 to 507 of the family's 1533-position model. The record is from RNAcentral.
GACGAACGCUGGCGGCGUGCUUAACACAUGCAAGUCGAACGGAAAGGCCUGCUUUCCCUUGUGGAUUGCGGGUACUCGAGUGGCGAACGGGUGAGUAACACGUGAGUGAUCUGCCCCCAACUUGGGUAUAAGCCUGGGAAACUGGGUCUAAUUCCCGAUAGGACUGCAGGGUGGUGCCUGUGGUGGAAAACGAUUUUCUAGUGGUUGGGGAUGAGCUCGCGGCCUAUCAGCUUGUUGGUGGGGGAAUGGCCUACCAAGGCGGCGACGGGUGGCCGGCCUGGGAGGGUGGACGGCCACAUUGGGACUGAGAUACGGCCCAGACUCCUACGGGAGGCAGCAGUGGGGAAUAUUGCACAAUGGGCGGAAGCCUGAUGCAGCGACGCCGCGUGGGGGAUGACGGCCUUCGGGUUGUAAACUCCUUUCGACCGCGAGGAAGCCACCUGGUUGGAAGGGUGGUGACGGUAGUGGUAGAAGAAGCACCGGCUAACUACGUG